Molecule: transfer RNA, 76 nt
Filed under: bacterium
Lineage: Bacteria
Also listed under: 2 other names
Description: tRNA-Glu
Rfam family: tRNA
About the family: Transfer RNA (tRNA) molecules are approximately 80 nucleotides in length. Their secondary structure includes four short double-helical elements and three loops (D, anti-codon, and T loops). Further hydrogen bonds mediate the characteristic L-shaped molecular structure. tRNAs have two regions of fundamental functional importance: the anti-codon, which is responsible for specific mRNA codon recognition, and the 3' end, to which the tRNAs corresponding amino acid is attached (by aminoacyl-tRNA synthetases). tRNAs cope with the degeneracy of the genetic code in two manners: having more than one tRNA (with a specific anti-codon) for a particular amino acid; and 'wobble' base-pairing, i.e. permitting non-standard base-pairing at the 3rd anti-codon position.
Source: RNAcentral
GCCGCCAUCGUCUAGUGGUCUAGGACCCUGGAUUCUCAUUCCAGAAACACGGGUUCGACUCCCGUUGGCGGUACCA